RNAcentral lists this ribosomal RNA (466 nucleotides) under uncultured bacterium. RNAcentral's name for it is "partial 16S ribosomal RNA". It matches the Rfam family "Bacterial small subunit ribosomal RNA", at positions 28 to 507 of the family's 1533-position model. The record is from RNAcentral.
GACGAACGCUGGCGGCGCGCCUAACACAUGCAAGUCGAACGAGCGAGUGAGAGCUUGCUUUCUCAAGCGAGUGGCGAACGGGUGAGUAACGCGUGAGGAACCUGCCUCAAAGAGGGGGACAACAGUUGGAAACGACUGCUAAUACCGCAUAAGCCCACAGGUCGGCAUCGACCAGAGGGAAAAGGAGCAAUCCGCUUUGAGAUGGCCUCGCGUCCGAUUAGCUAGUUGGUGAGGUAACGGCCCACCAAGGCAACGAUCGGUAGCCGGACUGAGAGGUUGAACGGCCACAUUGGGACUGAGACACGGCCCAGACUCCUACGGGAGGCAGCAGUGGGGAAUAUUGCACAAUGGGGGAAACCCUGAUGCAGCGACGCCGCGUGGAGGAAGAAGGUCUUCGGAUUGUAAACUCCUGUUGUUGAGGAAGAUAAUGACGGUACUCAACAAGGAAGUGACGGCUAACUACGUG